AUUGAACGCUGGCGGCAUGCCUUACACAUGCAAGUCGAACGGCAGCACGGGAGCAAUCCUGGUGGCGAGUGGCGAACGGGUGAGUAAAGUAUCGGAACGUGCCCAGUCGUGGGGGAUAACGUAGCGAAAGUUAAGCUAAUACCGCAUACGAUCUACGGAUGAAAGCGGGGGAUCGCAAGACCUCGCGCGAUUGGAGCGGCUGAUAUCAGAUUAGGUAGUUGGUGGGGUAAAGGCUCACCAAGCCGACGAUCUGUAGCUGGUCUGAGAGGACGACCAGCCACACUGGGACUGAGACACGGCCCAGACUCCUACGGGAGGCAGCAGUGGGGAAUUUUGGACAAUGGGCGCGAGCCUGAUCCAGCCAUGCCGCGUGCAGGAUGAAGGCCUUCGGGUUGUAAACUGCUUUUGUACGGAACGAAAAGGUUUGGCCUAAUAAGCUGGACCCAUGACGGUACCGUAAGAAUAAGCACCGGCUAACUACGUGCCAGCCGCCGCAGUAA
This 500-nucleotide ribosomal RNA is filed under the name uncultured bacterium. RNAcentral's name for it is "partial 16S ribosomal RNA". It matches the Rfam family "Bacterial small subunit ribosomal RNA", at positions 30 to 523 of the family's 1533-position model. The record is from RNAcentral.